UGGGUGCCUGAAACAGAUCUGCCUAAACAAAUAUGAGUGUCUAAUCACUACAGAGCUCUUGAGUGCACUUUAGUACUUUGUUCAGGCCCUGAGAGCACUGCUGCACACGUUAGAGGCUCGUUUCAGCGUGACCCAGUUCCAGGAGCACAACACGCGUUACUCACGCAGCAUGGGAAAACAGCUUCCUUCUGUGAUGAGAUGCAUGCAGUGAAUGCCCUACUUGCCGUACAUGAGCCCAGUGGAAGUUUGUAGGACUUACUGGGACAGUGUGUGUUGUCCAGUGGUCUCUCAGCCCUAGACAACUGUACCCUUGUCCUCCGUAUCUGACAAUGGAGAGGAAGGGGACCGCCUCCCAUGAGACAGCAUGUGUAACCUGGUACCCAAUGUAGAGUAUGUGAUGUUCCCAUGGGGACAUUUUAACAAUCGAUCUUUUUAUAAUUGUGGCCCAGGGAGAGAGUCAUGGUGCACCCGAAAGGUAGAACCUGUUUUACAGUGGAGUGAGGCCAAUCUCCCAGGAGAACAAAAUCUAACCAGAGAAAAAGUUCUGGUCCGCUUUGAACUGUGUAGCAAGUUCUUCUCUUCUCUCCUCUCUCCAAUACUAAUAUCCAGUCUGCUUAUUGGCCUUGAAAAUAAAAAAAAAACUCAUCUGCAAAGUAUAUUUCAACCAGACUUUAUGGCUCCACACAGGAUCCUCUGUCUCUCUAUUUCUCAGGUCACACAGACCCUUUCCUGCCCAGACUCCUUCUCCUUCUGUUCUGGCCACCUGCACGAAACGCACAGAAGCCCAGGGAGAACAUACACACUCCACACAGACUUGCACUGGAAUCGUAACCCUGUGGUGCAAGACAGCCAAGCUGACCACUGUGCCACCAUGCUGCCCAGUCUAAAGCCCUGCCAGUGAAUUUGCCUAUAGCCUACAUUCUUCAGUAGUCAGCGGAGAUGUUUCUGGCCAAAAAUUAAAAGUGAGAAAAUCAGCUGAAUAACCCCCCCACCCCAAUCCCAAACUGAAAAAUGUAUUUUUUUCUUCGUAGGUGCAACUACCUCCGUAGCAGACUCUCAGAAGGGGCGAUUUUAGAACAUGUCCGUUCCUAUGUUGGAUUCCAUGGAAUAACAGCCAAGCAUUACUUUGUCGACAAAGUGAGUGAAGAAACUGAGAUAGCAGAGCAGAGUCAGAAAGCCUCGUCAGAAGAGAUCCUUCGGAACAUAUUUGAGAAUGAGUGCUCUCGAAUGGAGUCCUACUUCCAAUGGCCAAGCGACUCAGCUGCAGUCCCAUCCAAACUGGCGAAAGCUGGCUUCUUCUACACAGGUGAAGGAUGGUAACUUAAACAUCUAAAAAUGACAACACUGUCAUCUUGCAUCUGUGCUCACCCAAUGUCAGGCUUUUUAUACAUAUCAGUUUAGUAGCAAUUUUAUUUUAGAAAACACCUGGUUUUAAAACCCUGUCAAUGCUGAGGGACAAUCUUUUUCCAGCAAUUUUAUUUUUAACAGAAACACUGAUGUGCUCAUCCCAUAUAUAAUCGCAACUGAUUUUUCUAAAGUCUGCUGUACUUGUUGUGUUUUUAUCAGUGUUUUUGUUGUGGAAUUAGUGGACAAAUUUAAUUUUGGUGUGGCUGGUAAUUUUAAAUCAGUCGUUCAGUCUUUUGUUUUCUCUAGAGCCCUUUGUAAAAGAAUGCCACAGCGUGCCUUACAGAUUGCUAUAGCAGGUAAACGGCACCUGACCAUGUGGCCAGGAAAGAGAAGAAAACAACCCCCCCCCCCGUGGGUGACAAGAAACCUCUGGAGGUCCCAGGCCCCAGUGGCGACGCCCCCCACCCCUCUUUCCCCUAAUGAGUUUUUUUUUAUACAUUGAUUAUCUUAAAUCUGGAAAAGGUGUGAGGUCCAGGCUGGUUACCUGGGUCUGCUAACUUGAGUGCAACACGCUCAAUGUCAUGUUCUUGCGCUGGGAUCCAGGCAGUGGGAACAUUAAAUGGUGAGAGAGCGCAUUGCAAUAAUGGGCUGGUUUGUGAAUUGUAAUAAAGGACACUUUUUAAUGUUUUCACAAGUACUGCACAUGUGAGUGAUCUCCCAUAUCCUCUAAAUCCAACCAUUAAGUUUGUUUUUAUAGCAGUGAAACGAUUAAAAAAAACUUCUGAUAGCACAGGGGUAUCUCUUAGAUUGUUUCAGAAAGUUCUACAAUUUAGUGGUCCUGUAGCUAAAGACACUGCCCCCAGCAGUUAUUUUGUAAUUUCUUGGGUCCACUGUGCUCUGCUUGGUCUGUAAUGUUUUAGCAGGUCACUUAAAUAAAGGGGCGUUAGACCCUUUAGUGUUUUGUGGAGCAGAAGAAAUGCUUUAAAGUCUGUAUUGUUUUUUUUUAAUUCAAGUUGAGAGACACGUUUCAACAUUUUGAACAGGGUGAAGUCUGGAUAUACUGUAGUGCAGUCUCCUGUACCAGACAGCAGCAGGUUACAACAGUCUGGUCUUUGUAGAAAACAGUCAGUCUUGUAAAGAUCUUUCUGAUGUGUAGAUGUAACUUGAAAAUGUAUCUAGGUGACGAGGAAACUGUUCAGUGUUUUCAGUGUGGUGGGAGGAUUUCACAUUGGCCUGAAGGAGCUGAUCCAGUACAGGAGCAUCAGAAGAUCUUCUCACAAUGCCAAUAUGUUAUUAACAUCGGUCAAAAUCCUCAACAAAGUGACACUGCCGUUAGCCUCAAAAAGAGUCUCGGCUGGAAUUAAAUAUGUUGGAGAAGAAAGCCAGGAAUCUGCAAUUCCUCCUCAAGAAGGCCUACGCAACCAAGGAGUUCAGCAGAAUUACUACUCCGUCAAAUGGACAAAUUUGCAAAACUGGAAGAACUGAAAUUAGUUCUGGUUUCAGCUCCAGGAAGUUUGUGUGCUCUACCAGCUGGAUUCAGCAAAGUGGUUACCCUAAGGAAGCUGCACUUGAAUAAUAACAUGCAAGAGGAAGACACUAUUCUGGCGUGGCUUCUUGCGCAUUUCCCACUCUUGUCCAGCUUUGUAUUGGAAAGUGACUCCUGUCCUGGGUUGGAAGGCAUCAUCGGCGCCUUGCCUUGCGCUAGCCUGCAGGAGCUCAAACUGGGCUGCAUAGUGUUUACCGAUUCUCAGCUGAGCUCUUUUGUUGCACAGCUGGGGAGAUUCACCAAUCUGAAAGUGCUGAAGCUGUGUAAUGAAGUGUUUGACUCUGUGGAAGUAAUGCCAGCUUUCGGUAGGUGGAAACUGACUUGGCGAAAGGCCAGGCACUUCUCGCUGAGUUACUGAAGCUUUCAUGUGAACCACUCGUCUUAUUGACAAUGAGACUGUAACAUAUUUAUGAUUUGAUCUUAAUUUCUAUGACUUUUUUAAUAUAGGCUAAUUGAUUGGUUGAUAUGCAGUUCAGCUCCAAUUUCUUCGAGAUGCUGGGCAUGAUUGUGUUGACCUAAAAUCAGUUUGCUUGCUAUGCAUGGGUGGCACGUUGGCUCCCUGGGGUGUAUUGCUGGGACAUUGGCAUUGCCUGUCAUUGCAUUAGCAGUUCUGGAGCCCUGGGUUUAAUUCUGGACCUGGGUUCUGUCUGUGGGGAGUUUGCAUGUUCUCUUCGGUUUAGUGUG
Molecule: non-coding RNA, 3577 nt
Organism: Lepisosteus oculatus (spotted gar)
Lineage: Eukaryota; Metazoa; Chordata; Actinopteri; Semionotiformes; Lepisosteidae
Source: RefSeq, a predicted model, not a curated record